RNAcentral lists this ribosomal RNA (440 nucleotides) under uncultured bacterium. Its description in RNAcentral is "partial 16S ribosomal RNA". It matches the Rfam family "Bacterial small subunit ribosomal RNA", at positions 338 to 795 of the family's 1533-position model. The record is from RNAcentral.
CCUACGGGUGGCAGCAGUGGGGAAUAUUGCACAAUGGGGGAAACCCUGAUGCAGCGACGCCGCGUGAGUGAAGAAGUAUUUCGGUAUGUAAAGCUCUGUCAGCAGGGAAGAAAAUGACGGUACCUGUCCCCGAAUCCGCGGCUAACGACGUGCCAGCAGCCGCGGCAAUACGUAGGGGGCAAGCGUUAUCCGGAUUUACUGGGUGUAAAGGGGGGGUAGACGGCAGGGCAAGUCUGGAGUGAAAGGCGGGGGCUCAACCCCCGGACUGCUCUGGAAACUGGCAGGCUGGAGUGCAGGAGAGGUAAGUGGAAUUCCUAGUGUAGCGGUGAAAUGCGUAGAUAUUAGGAGGAACACCAGUGGCGAAGGCGGCUUACUGGACUGUAACUGACGUUGAGGCUCGAAAGCGUGGGGAGCAAACAGGAUUAGAUACCCCAGUAGUC